Molecule: unclassified non-coding RNA, 245 nt
Filed under: Hevea brasiliensis (rubber tree)
Lineage: Eukaryota; Viridiplantae; Streptophyta; Magnoliopsida; Malpighiales; Euphorbiaceae
Source: RNAcentral
GAAACUGCAUCGCCCUUAUGACAAUUACUGGGGCGAAAGGGAGUACGGUUAAUUUUCAACAAAUUUCCUCAUAUCUGGGCCAACAAGAGUUGGAAGGAAAACGAGUGCCACGAAUGGUUUCUGGGAAGACUUUACCCUGUUUUCCAGCAUGGGAUUGUGCUUCUAGGGCAGGAGGUUAUGUCAGUGAUCGCUUUCUUUCUGGACUUCGUCCCCAGGAGUACUAUUUUCAUUGCAUGGCUGGUCGU